CCCCUGGUGAUCCAGUGGUUAAGAAUCCACUUGACAAUGUAGAAGACGCAGGUUCAAUUCCUGCUCAGGGAA
This 72-nucleotide transfer RNA is filed under the name Ovis aries (sheep). It matches the Rfam family "tRNA". From Rfam's summary of the family: Transfer RNA (tRNA) molecules are approximately 80 nucleotides in length. Their secondary structure includes four short double-helical elements and three loops (D, anti-codon, and T loops). The record is from Rfam by way of RNAcentral. Lineage: Eukaryota; Metazoa; Chordata; Mammalia; Artiodactyla; Bovidae.